RNAcentral lists this ribosomal RNA (705 nucleotides) under Triticum aestivum (bread wheat). RNAcentral's name for it is "partial small subunit ribosomal RNA". Lineage: Eukaryota; Viridiplantae; Streptophyta; Magnoliopsida; Poales; Poaceae. The record is from RNAcentral.
AUGGACUAUGGUGGUGGCGGCAGCGCCCGACCGGUCAGCAGUGGGAUGGCGUACGUGGCCCACGCCUUCUUCAUCACCGACGAGGACGACCUGGUGGGCGGCGCUGGUCAAGGAGAUCGCGUUUGCCGCCGCGCUCCUCGCACUUGGCGUCAUCGCAGGCCUCAUCAUGGCCGCCCACCGCGUCUGUGGCGACCACUCCCAUGCAUCAAGGGGAUCUUCGACCGCUACCAGCAGGCCACCGGGACCAGCCUGUGGACCGAGCAGUAUGAGAAUGAGGCUGCUCUGGAGGAAGCAGAGGACUCUGGGGAGAAGGCUUCCAUCAAGGAAGCAGACAAGUACUGCAAGGCCAUCAUCGGGAGGCUGUUGCGCGGCGCCACCUGCCUGAAGGGCGGCCUGCUGGUCAUCACCCUUGCAGGCGGGGCUGGCUUCAUGCUCUCCCCCAACCUGGACCUCACCGCCGACCUAGAGAAGCUCCAGGCGAUGUCAUUAUUCUUGUUUGAAGCUAAGCUAGGCUACUAUAGUUCCAGCAAAAAGGGCGCCGGGGAGAUGACGCCGUGUAGCCUGAUCUACAGCUCGGAGACGAUGCGUACCCCUGGCUGGGCGACCGGAGCCAGGAACCAUUCCCGACGCAGCUCUCUCGAGAUGAACAAGUUCUUCGCCGCCGCCGCCGAGCAGCAGCAACACCAGAGCUUCAGGGAGAAGUAA